This 233-nucleotide long non-coding RNA is filed under the name Carlito syrichta (Philippine tarsier). Its description in RNAcentral is "MEST intronic transcript 1, antisense RNA conserved region 2 (ENSTSYG00000036900.1)". It matches the Rfam family "MEST intronic transcript 1, antisense RNA conserved region 2". The record is from RNAcentral. Lineage: Eukaryota; Metazoa; Chordata; Mammalia; Primates; Tarsiidae.
AGAAAAUUAUUUACGUUGAACCGACAUCUGUUUCCCUACAACGUGCGCUUCUUGGAGCUGCACGGAAGAAAAUGUUCGCUGCUGCUUCCACAAAUAUUUGAGGACCGCGGGCACGUUUCCUUCCUCCACGUACUCCACAAGGCUUCCUUUCUUCAAGCAAAAGUCGCCUCGUUCUUCCAGACAGGGAGGCCGGAUGGGGUAGUGGAAAGAAGGCCGGCUGGAGCCAGGCACGU